This 440-nucleotide long non-coding RNA is filed under the name Homo sapiens (human). RNAcentral's name for it is "HSALNT0276817". The record is from RNAcentral. Lineage: Eukaryota; Metazoa; Chordata; Mammalia; Primates; Hominidae.
AAGCGAAGUGGGGCUAGAAAUGCCUGCUGGGUCACUGCAUCCCACCAUCCCCACUGCUGCUUCUACACAGGUAUUUUCUAAGUGCCUUCUCUAGGCCCUGGCAAAGAACACGACUAUCACAUUUGCCAGCAAGCUUUGAAGACCUUGCGUCUCCAAGAGGACUUAAGACUCCAGCGUCUUUGUUCCUAAUCUGUGGGUGGCAAUGUCAUGGGCAUGUGUGUUUGAACAGUGCUUCUGUGCCUCUGUGAGGUGGUGGGGCAGAGCCGGUCCUUGUUUACUAAAAGGGACCCGAGCCCCCACAGGGGUGGGAGGAUGGGUUAGGCUUAAAGAGCCAGGUGCAGUCUGGAAGAAGAAAGGAUUGGUGAGAACUUGCAUGGCCCUGCCACACCAGGAGCUUGGGUAAAAUCAUACUGGGAGGGAAACAAAACAAAAAAAGUCAA